GACGAACGCUGGCGGCGUGCUUAACACAUGCAAGUCGAACGGCAAGGCCCUGCUUUUGUGGGGUGCUCGAGUGGCGAACGGGUGAGUAACACGUGAGUAACCUGCCCUUGACUUUGGGAUAACUUCAGGAAACUGGGGCUAAUACCGGCUAGGAGCUCCUGCUGCAUGGUGGGGGCUGGACAGUUUCGGCGGGUGGGGAGGGACUCGCGGCUUAUCAGCUUGUUGGUGGGGUAGUGGCUUACCAAGGCUUUGACGGGUAGCCGGCCUGGGAGGGUGACCGGCGACAUUGGUACUGAGAGACGGCCCAGACUCCUACGGGAGGCAGCAGUGGGGAAUAUUGCACAAUGGGCGGAAGCCUGAUGCAGCAACGCCGCGUGCGGGAUGACGGCCUUCGGGGUGUAAACCGCUUGCGCCUGUGACGAAGCGUGAGUGACGGUAAUGGGUAAAGAAGCACCGGCUAACUACGUG
RNAcentral lists this ribosomal RNA (468 nucleotides) under uncultured bacterium. RNAcentral's name for it is "partial 16S ribosomal RNA". It matches the Rfam family "Bacterial small subunit ribosomal RNA", at positions 28 to 507 of the family's 1533-position model. The record is from RNAcentral.